UCCGUAGGGUGCAAGCGUUGUCCGGAAUUAUUGGGCGUAAAGAGCUCGUAGGCGGUCUGUCGCGUCUGCUGUGAAAACUCGGGGCUUAACUCCGGGCCUGCAGUGGGUACGGGCAGACUAGAGUGCGGUAGGGGAGACUGGAAUUCCUGGUGUAGCGGUGAAAUGCGCAGAUAUCAGGAGGAACACCGGUGGCGAAGGCGGGUCUCUGGGCCGUAACUGACGCUGAGGAGCGAAAGCGUGGGGAGCGAACAGG
RNAcentral lists this ribosomal RNA (253 nucleotides) under uncultured bacterium. RNAcentral describes it as "partial 16S ribosomal RNA". It matches the Rfam family "Bacterial small subunit ribosomal RNA", at positions 524 to 776 of the family's 1533-position model. The record is from RNAcentral.